UACGAAGGGGGCUAGCGUUGUUCGGAGUUACUGGGCGUAAAGGGCGCGUAGGCGGCGCACCAAGUCAGACGUGAAAGCCCUGGGCUCAACCCGGGAAUUGCGCUUGAGACUGGUGUGCUUGAGUACGGGAGAGGAUAGUGGAAUUCCCAGUGUAGAGGUGAAAUUCGUAGAUAUUGGGAAGAACACCGGUGGCGAAGGCGGCUAUCUGGACCGUAACUGACGCUGAGGCGCGAAAGCGUGGGGAGCAAACAGG
RNAcentral lists this ribosomal RNA (253 nucleotides) under uncultured bacterium. RNAcentral's name for it is "partial 16S ribosomal RNA". It matches the Rfam family "Bacterial small subunit ribosomal RNA", at positions 524 to 776 of the family's 1533-position model. The record is from RNAcentral.